Ostrea edulis (European flat oyster) is the source of this 379-nucleotide long non-coding RNA. RefSeq lists it as uncharacterized. The record is from RefSeq and is a predicted model, not a curated record. The transcript has 3 exons. Lineage: Eukaryota; Metazoa; Mollusca; Bivalvia; Ostreida; Ostreidae.
GAGAGUUGAACUUUUCACAUCAUAUUGCAAAUAGUCUUAGGGAUGUAUACUUCUGUAGUAUUUCUAUUCGUAUUUUUUAUUGGAUGUUCCGAAUCUUCAUCAUCUUCAAAUCCCGGAAUCUUCAAUGAAGACUAUAUGGAUCCAAAGACUGUGGAUCACAAAACGCUAUCUGGACGGUGGUAUGAACAUUUGAACACAGUGAAUAACACCAUCAGUGACAAUUCUUUUGGAGACGUGGUGGUUUUAUGUGAUGAAACAAUAAGUCUAGUGGAGGUCAUUUACCGUUGGAUUCCGUCUCUGGAAGAGUGUCGAACCACAGCGGUAAGAUUUCAACCCGAUACGGCCCAUUCACCUGGAGCAGCAGUCAUCCGGAUGUCCA